RNAcentral lists this ribosomal RNA (460 nucleotides) under uncultured bacterium. RNAcentral describes it as "partial 16S ribosomal RNA". It matches the Rfam family "Bacterial small subunit ribosomal RNA", at positions 338 to 795 of the family's 1533-position model. The record is from RNAcentral.
CCUACGGGCGGCAGCAGUGAGGAAUAUUGGUCAAUGGCCGGAAGGCUGAACCAGCCAUGCCGCGUGAAGGUCAGUGCCCUAUGGGCGUUAAACUUCUUUUGUGCGGGAGCAAUAAUGGUCACGUGUGGCCAGACGAGAGUACCGUACGAAUAAGCAUCGGCUAACUCCGUGCCAGCAGCCGCGGUAAUACGGGGGAUGCAAGCGUUAUCCGGAUUUAUUGGGUUUAAAGGGUGCGUAGGCUGUGAGUUAAGUCAGCGGUGAAAUGCCCCCGCUCAACGGGGUGAAGUGCCAUUGAUACUGCCUUGCUGGAAUGCGGAUGCGGUGGGAGGAAUGUGUGGUGUAGCGGUGAAAGGCAUAGAUAUCACACAGAACACCGAUUGCGAAGGCAUCUCACGAAUCCGCGAUUGACGCUGAUGCACGAAAGCGUGGGUAUCAAACAGGAUUAGAUACCCCUGUAGUC